AUUGAACGCUGGCGGCAUGCCUUACACAUGCAAGUCGAACGGCAGCACGGGUGCUUGCACCUGGUGGCGAGUGGCGAACGGGUGAGUAAUACAUCGGAACAUGUCCUGUAGUGGGGGAUAGCCCGGCGAAAGCCGGAUUAAUACCGCAUACGAUCUACGGAUGAAAGCGGGGGACCUUCGGGCCUCGCGCUAUAGGGUUGGCCGAUGGCUGAUUAGCUAGUUGGUGGGGUAAAGGCCUACCAAGGCGACGAACAGUAGCUGGUCUGAGAGGACGACCAGCCACACUGGGACUGAGACACGGCCCAGACUCCUACGGGAGGCAGCAGUGGGGAAUUUUGGACAAUGGGCGAAAGCCUGAUCCAGCAAUGCCGCGUGUGUGAAGAAGGCCUUCGGGUUGUAAAGCACUUUUGUCCGGAAAGAAAUCCUUGGCCCUAAUACGGUCGGGGGAUGACGGUACCGGAAGAAUAAGCACCGGCUAACUACGUG
This 486-nucleotide ribosomal RNA is filed under the name uncultured bacterium. RNAcentral describes it as "partial 16S ribosomal RNA". It matches the Rfam family "Bacterial small subunit ribosomal RNA", at positions 30 to 507 of the family's 1533-position model. The record is from RNAcentral.